Molecule: long non-coding RNA, 711 nt
Filed under: Pogona vitticeps (central bearded dragon)
Lineage: Eukaryota; Metazoa; Chordata; Lepidosauria; Squamata; Agamidae
Description: lncRNA (ENSPVIG00000000556.1)
Source: RNAcentral
CCAUUUUAUGGAUGGCCAUGUUUGUUAUUUAUCUGUGUUUCUUUACAGCUGCUGUCUAUUGGUUUCCAUUUGCUUCGUGAUAGUAAACCGCACCAACAGCACUCUAAAGAUGAUACGCAGACCAAAGGCAACAGGCAACCCUGUCCUAAAACUUGAUGACCCAUGAGCCAGUAUUUUUAUGACCCCUGCCACCCAGCACUGUCAGAUCGAGCCGGCUGCAGCUUAGCCAACCAAAACCGAGCCCAAGGAAGACCCCCAGGGAGAGACAGACAAGCCUGGGCAAUGUGUACGAAUUAUUUUUCAGGAGAUAUAUAUAAGCCGUAUCAAGAAGGAUGCUCCAUUCCCUGCAAGACAGAUUUGCUUACCAACGAUGACGCCACUUCUGAUCUUCCUGUUGGCCGGAAACAUCUUCAUACAAUCAAGUAAGCCUUCUUCUACUUUUAAUUUCCCUGGGAAAUUCAGCCCCUCCACUUGUCCCACGUAGCAAGUUGGCCUCACAUCCCAGAUUUUCACCCUAAAACUCCAGUUUUGAGGUCCUUUCCCCAUGCUUCAUCCUUGGGAUCAGAAAUUUCAUGCAAUGAAUGUUUUUAAACUAGCAUCUGGGGAUUCAGUUUCAGGGCUUCGAGAGAUACUCCCCAGAGAUGCUUAAAGUCAUGCGUAUAUUUUGGGUGGCCAUGUUAGCCCUUAAAUUUAUCAUAGUGUCAACAUUUU